UCAUUUCAAACACUGGUUGAAAACAGUUUUGAGUGGGCAGAUGAAAACUUAAGCAACUAAUUCUUAACCAAAUUAUUAUUUGUAGUUCUUUAACAUUUCGUGUUUUUAUUUGUAUAUUAAGGUUCCUAUGUGUGAUAAGGGCCAACAUCACACAAAUUCAUGUGAUUUUUGUCAUAAAAGUCUUUGAAACAAUAUGAGUUUUGACACCAGCUACAUUUUAUAAAAAAGAGGCCUUCACAAGAAGGUAACACGCACUGUAUACCAGAAUAUGUAAAGCAGACUGAUUUUACAUUAGCGAAUGUUGGCUUCUCAUCCCCGAUCCAUAGCCCACUUGAAUACCAACAAUACUUUAUCAUCGGUAUAAAUGAUGGUGCACUUAAAAGAAAGUGUCCAAUGGCUGAGCAACAUCAGUACAAUUCUCUGGAACGAAUUUCACUGUGAGUGCCGGCCAUCCAUCAUCGGGAUUAAAUUUCGACUCAUACAUUUGAAGAAAUGUAGCAACUAAAGGCCUGCUUAAUUUGCCGGACUUGCUAGCGGUGACAAACAGGUUUGGAGCAGAAAACAGUGUCUUCUUGACUACUGGUCCAAUGGUGCCACUUGCCUCCUAGAGACAAGUUAGGGAUUUUGAAACAUUCGGUGUGAAAAUUUAAUCAGUUAAAUUUACCUGUAAGCAUACAAAUACUUUUGGUAGAAUUGUUCCUGCGUAGGUAAUAGUAUACUGUACUGUAUACGAGUGGGUCACCUUAUUCUUUGGGGAUAUCGCCGAACCGAACGUUGACCUCUCGCCUUUCCAAGACAACGUCCUAUUCGACACAAUCUCGUAUUUGAAACCAGUUUGGUCCGUGUUCCAAACUAACGUCGGGUCAUGAACAGAAAUUAGUGGUUGCAUUUCAUUCCUGAACUCUUCAGCCAUGAGACCUAUUUGUUCCAUAUCACGAAUGGAAGACCUGUUCACUAGUUUUUGGAUUCUUCUUGAAGAAAUCCGGUUUCUACUUCUAAAUCGAGCAAUCCAACUAUCUGACGCCUUGAAUUUGAAACCUGGAUAUUCAUUAGCCUUCGAUACUGCCCAGCGCCGCAGAUCCAUACUGUGGACCGAUCGGAAUUCUUGGCGAGCCUCGCGAAAGAGUUGUAGGACAUGAUGCUCAAUUUCCAUAUAAAUAUCGAAGUUUGUUCCGCCUUAAACAAAAUAUCCUAGGUAAAUCAAUUGAAAAAAGUUACGAAAUAAAAAAACUCAUCUCAAAGUUUACCCAUGCGUAUUUGACUUUUCCAUCUUUGCAAAUAAUUACGAUGUUUGACCUUCUUAAAUUUGUUCUGGAAUGUUAAGAAUUUCCACGCCGGAUUGCUUUCAAAUGCAUUUAUGGCUCUUUUCUUGUAUUCCAUAUCCACUUUGUCUCGUUUAAUUGGCUCUCCUUCUUCAUCCUCGUAGUCAUUUAGCGCAGA
Molecule: long non-coding RNA, 1440 nt
Organism: Folsomia candida
Lineage: Eukaryota; Metazoa; Arthropoda; Collembola; Entomobryomorpha; Isotomidae
Exons: 3
Source: RefSeq, a predicted model, not a curated record